GCCAGGCGUGGUGGCGCACACCUGUAAUCCCAGCUACUCAGGAGGCUGAGGCAGGAGAAUUGCUUGAACCUGGGAGGCAGAGGUUGCAGUGAGCUGAGAUCACGCCACUGUACUUCAGCCUGGGUGACAGAGUGAGACUCAGUCUCAA
This is an unclassified non-coding RNA of Pongo abelii (Sumatran orangutan), 148 nucleotides long. It matches the Rfam family "Metazoan signal recognition particle RNA". Rfam says of the family: The signal recognition particle (SRP) is a universally conserved ribonucleoprotein. It is involved in the co-translational targeting of proteins to membranes. The eukaryotic SRP consists of a 300-nucleotide 7S RNA and six proteins: SRPs 72, 68, 54, 19, 14, and 9. Lineage: Eukaryota; Metazoa; Chordata; Mammalia; Primates; Hominidae. The record is from Ensembl.